RNAcentral lists this ribosomal RNA (293 nucleotides) under uncultured bacterium. RNAcentral's name for it is "partial 16S ribosomal RNA". It matches the Rfam family "Bacterial small subunit ribosomal RNA", at positions 505 to 796 of the family's 1533-position model. The record is from RNAcentral.
GUGCCAGCAGCCGCGGUAAAACGUAGGACGCGAGCGUUAUCCGGAGUUACUGGGCGUAAAGGGCGGGCAGGCGGUUCACAAAGUCUGGCGUGAAAUCUCCCAGGCUCAACCGGGAGGGUGCGUUGGAAACUGGUGAGCUAGAGGGCGGUAGAGGGUCGUGGAAUUCCGGGUGGAGUGGUGAAAUGCGUAGAGAUCCGGAGGAACACCAGAGGCGAAAGCGGCGACCUGGGCCGCACCUGACGCUGAACCGCGAAAGCCAGGGGAGCGAACGGGAUUAGAAACCCGAGUAGUCC